Molecule: long non-coding RNA, 353 nt
Organism: Dicentrarchus labrax (European seabass)
Lineage: Eukaryota; Metazoa; Chordata; Actinopteri; Moronidae
Exons: 3
Source: RefSeq, a predicted model, not a curated record
AGACUUGGACCGUGAAGUUUUGAGGAUGUGAUGGCGUCCUCGGAUCAAAUGCACACAGACACCAGGACUGACGAGGAAGAAAGGAGCAGCGUCUUCUCUUCCAGUGUUUCCUCCACACAUGAAGGUAGAAAGUGUCUGUAAGUCAACCUGAAGUGAGUUCAGCAGGUGUGGGCUCUGCUAUGGAUCAGUGUGAGGACAGAGAGGAGGGAGUCCCUCCCUCUAAAAGCACUCUGUGUGGGGAACAUGACACAAGGACCAAAGCUCAGAGGAUCCAUCAGAGACCAGACUGUCCUGAACCUGAACCCAGCUGUGUGUCCAUGAAGAGUGAUCGCUCUAUGGGUGAACGUAUAUAC